UCUCUUUCUGGUACCCUGGGUUUGUGU
This 27-nucleotide non-coding RNA is filed under the name Homo sapiens (human). Lineage: Eukaryota; Metazoa; Chordata; Mammalia; Primates; Hominidae. The record is from RNAcentral.